This 825-nucleotide long non-coding RNA is filed under the name Homo sapiens (human). RNAcentral's name for it is "HSALNT0039181". The record is from RNAcentral. Lineage: Eukaryota; Metazoa; Chordata; Mammalia; Primates; Hominidae.
UUAUGAACUCUGUUUUGUGUUCAUUUUAUCUAUUUGCCAACUGCAAUUCACUUUCAUCUUUAAUUCCCACAUCUCACUUCUGCCCUUCACUAUACCUGGUGUCCUGAAUCCACAGCACCACAGAUCACUUUUUCUAGGAAAGAACUAUUUGUUGUUCUGCCUUGAAGGGAGCCAAUCAGUAAGCUUCCCCUCAGCCACGCAGGAUGGAAGACACAGCUCUUGGAUGCUAACAACCACUAGCUGCCCCGACUUCCUAAAGCCCAGAGGCUUGUGAGGGUUUUGCAGGAAGCAGACACCAUCACCAUCAAAGAUAUACCACACAGGUAAAUGCCUUCUGGGACAUCAUCUCCUCUGCAAGUGGUCAAAAUGGAUUCCACAACCUUACAAGGCUGUCCUUCACUCUUGAUCCAUCCAUGGAGACCUUCAGCAGAAUUUAGUGACACCUGAAUAUGGUGUGUAUUUCAUUCCAGGCAAUCAGCCACUCCCGAAACAACUACUAUUCUGAUUAAAAUCACCAUGGAUGACUUUGUCUGUUCUAGAAAUUCAUGCAAUUAAACACCUGAAACAGAAGGGGAUUCAACAGGGGAACAUCUUUUGUGCCAGGACUCAGCUGAGUUAUUGCAUUUCCUAAUCCAAAAAAGCAGAUUUCAUUAUUUUAUGCAAAGACAAAUCUUGUUAAAUGUCUGUAUUAUUUUUUCUUCUGAAAAGAAAGAGUCUACUCCUUUCUAAUACCACUUUGCAAUCAUUAAAACAUAUAAAUUAAAAAAAAUUGUCUGUAAACUCGAAGUUUGUUCAGAAGCAAAAUAUCAACCUCACAAUGAGAAA